UGAGCCGCUGGGGCAGAGGAUCACGGACC
RNAcentral lists this non-coding RNA (29 nucleotides) under Homo sapiens (human). The record is from RNAcentral. Lineage: Eukaryota; Metazoa; Chordata; Mammalia; Primates; Hominidae.